Molecule: ribosomal RNA, 468 nt
Filed under: uncultured bacterium
Lineage: Bacteria
Description: partial 16S ribosomal RNA
Rfam family: Bacterial small subunit ribosomal RNA
Source: RNAcentral
GACGAACGCUGGCGGCGUGCUUAACACAUGCAAGUCGAACGGAAAGGCCCUGCUUUUGUGGGGUGCUCGAGUGGCGAACGGGUGAGUAACACGUGAGUAACCUGCCCUUGACUUUGGGAUAACUUCAGGAAACUGGGGCUAAUACCGGAUAGGAGCUCCUGCUGCAUGGCGGGGGUUGGAAAGUUUCGGCGGUUGGGAAUGGACUCGCGGCUUAUCAGCUUGUUGGUGGGGUAGUGGCUUACCAAGGCUUUGACGGGUAGCCGGCCUGAGAGGGUGACCGGCCACAUUGGGACUGAGAUACGGCCCAGACUCCUACGGGAGGCAGCAGUGGGGAAUAUUGCACAAUGGGCGGAAGCCUGAUGCAGCAACGCCGCGUGCGGGAUGACGGCCUUCGGGUUGUAAACCGCUUUCGCCUGUGACGAAGCGUGAGUGACGGUAAUGGGUAAAGAAGCACCGGCUAACUACGUG